Molecule: non-coding RNA, 1871 nt
Organism: Dermacentor andersoni
Lineage: Eukaryota; Metazoa; Arthropoda; Arachnida; Ixodida; Ixodidae
Source: RefSeq, a predicted model, not a curated record
UGCACGCGUAUUGCGCGUAUCGGCGGUCGCGCUUUGCGCUUCACUAUCCCUUUGCGCAUUCUGUUCUGGCGCUACAAAUCAACGCGCUUCCCUACCUCGCCGGAAUUUCUCUACUGAAAGCGUUCGUCGCCUCCAGACACACAUAUAAGGCGUCAUGGGACGGACAAAUUUUGUUGGGGCACUCGCCAAGGAAUGCUUCCGCAUCAAAAGACUGAUUCCAUCGAGCAUGGCCUCCAAGAACUGGCGGAGUGCGCAAUCUUGGAGGCCAUUGUUGAACAGUUCGUGGCAGUUCUCCCGUGACACGAGUAUAGUUCGACGCUUACUCGAAAAUUUAUGCCUGUUUUGGUUUGAAGCCUCGGAUAAUUGCCGUCGAUGGACAGUCACUGUGCAGGCGAGCAGAGAAGUGGACGAAGAGGAAGGACCGUAUUGACAGUGUUAAAAAUGUUUUCGCAUAUUUAAUUCAAAACGUAUUCACACGACCACGUCACACAACAUCCACUGAGUGCCUUGGAUACUGUCGCGUGAGAACGUGCCUCAUGAACUUCGAUGUAUAAACACCGGGCUGUCACGUCUCUUUAUUGUAACGUCAAGUCCUUUCCUCAUUCUCAUGGAAAUUGCUUUUACAGAAUACCGUUCAUCACAAGAACACAGAUAAAACUUUAUUGAAGAACAUUCAUUCAUUUAAUCAACCUUAUUCACCCCCAUCCCAUACCCUUGUAUGCCCUGAGGCAUUUAUCCUCGCAUUAAAAAAAAUAGAACAUUCCCGGCCCAGACCUAUAGUGAUUGGGCGGAAGACGACUGAUGAGGCAGUGGAUAUGUCAAGCAUUGUAAGUUGUUUACCCCCUCUCUCCCUCCUCCAUUCCCUUACUUUUGUAAUGCCCCACUGGAGCGUUUAAAGCAAAAAUAAAGUGAUGACGACGAUUAUGUGAGCGUUGUCGCAGAGAGGCAACGGCGAGAUAUCGUCUGCUAGUCUGUCAAGUUGUUGAGCUCGGUUUCCACGAGCCUGCCGUCGAAGGUCACGAGGUCCCCGGUCGGGUAAGUCAUCGGUUGAGAUCUGGGCAAACGUUGCUCAGUGGAUCUGGGCCUGUGAAUAGGACCUCGGACUGAGUGCAAAUUCUGCAAUAAUAGUCAAGCAGGAACAGUGCAGAAAAUCGUCAAAACCUCCUCGGGUCAUUGGUACUCGAUUAAUUAGGUACCUUGCAAUCAUUUUGCUUCAAAAUGAACUCGGAAGCGAUUAAGUGAAAUAUCCAUGCCGAAUAAAAAUGCAGAUGCACGCGGGAUUGUUUUGUCAAGCAAACUGGCCCUCUCCUAAGGCUCAAAAGGAAAUAAAACAUAAUGACGUUUAGAGACCAUUACGGCUCCCUCGUUCACAAUGGACCCGUAGCGGUCUCGAAACGUCUUUAUAUGUUUUAUUUCCUUUUGAACCUUAGGCGAGGGUCACUUUAUUUGACAAUGUAUCACCUUCGCCAGACGAGUUUUCGUCGAACUUUGGACUACGCGGAAUCGUAUGGACGUCAUUACCGUUAGAUUUUAUGAAAUUUGACAUCAGCUCGACUUGGACCACUGUGUCGGCCCAUACGAUACCUCUAAAAUGCAAUACCGCGAGUUGGUACGAAAAACCGAAAUGCUGCACCAAGCAAGCCACGCGUUCCCCUUUAUAAAAAAAAAGUGCCGUAUUCUUUCACAUUCUGUGUAAAUAAGAUCAUGCAUGUGUACAGUACCCGCCCGCCUCACAUGGUGCUGUGGAUCACAAAGCAACGAAGGGAAGCCUAUUGCAAAGUGACCUACGCACAGUCGUAUGAUAGUGCAAUGUUCGGAACUUGAAAUCAAGCUCUUCGGAAUGCGGUGUGUUUAGUUAUGCAAAUAAAAGG